This 320-nucleotide ribosomal RNA is filed under the name uncultured eukaryote. RNAcentral's name for it is "partial 18S ribosomal RNA". It matches the Rfam family "Eukaryotic small subunit ribosomal RNA", at positions 1470 to 1796 of the family's 1831-position model. The record is from RNAcentral.
CCCCUAGAUGUUCUGGGCCGCACGCGCGCUACACUGAACAGUUCAACAAGUCUUAACCUUGGCCGAUAGGUCUGGGUAAUCUUUGAACGCUGUUCGUGAUUGGGAUAGACCUUUGCAAUUAUGGGUCUUCAACGAGGAAUUCCUAGUAAACGCAAGUCAUCAGCUUUCAUUGAUUACGUCCCUGCCCUUUGUACACACCGCCCGUCGCACCUACCGAUUGAAUGGUCCGGUGAAAUCUCGGGACGGCGGCUUGGUCGCUUGCGUCCGACUGCUGAAACUUGAUUAAACCAUAUCAUUUAGAGGAAGGUGAANUCGUANCA